This 348-nucleotide unclassified non-coding RNA is filed under the name soil metagenome. RNAcentral's name for it is "partial contains 5.8S ribosomal RNA, internal transcribed spacer 2, and large subunit ribosomal RNA". The stretch from base 1 to 120 matches the Rfam family "5.8S ribosomal RNA", at positions 35 to 154 of the family's 154-position model. The record is from RNAcentral.
GAUGAAGAACGCAGCAAAAUGCGAUAAGUAAUGUGAAUUGCAGAAUUCAGUGAAUCAUCGAAUCUUUGAACGCACAUUGCGCCCGCUGGUAUUCCGGCGGGCAUGCCUGUUCGAGCGUCAUUUCAACCCUCAAGCCCCCGGGUUUGGUGUUGGGGAUCGGCUCUGCCCUUCUGGGCGGUGCCGCCCCCGAAAUACAUUGGCGGUCUCGCUGCAGCCUCCAUUGCGUAGUAGCUAACACCUCGCAACUGGAACGCGGCGCGGCCAUGCCGUAAAUCCCCAACUUCUGAAUGUUGACCUCGGAUCAGGUAGGAAUACCCGCUGAACUUAAGCAUAUCAAUAAGCGGAGGA